CCAGACUCCUACGGGAGGCAGCAGUGGGGAAUAUUGCACAAUGGGGGAAACCCUGAUGCAGCGACGCCGCGUGAGUGAAGAAGUAAUUCGUUACGUAAAGCUCUAUCAGCAGGGAAGAAACACUGACCUUACGGUCAGCAGACGGUACCUGAGUAAGAAGCCCCGGCUAACUACGUGCCAGCAGCCGCGGUAAUACGUAGGGGGCAAGCGUUAUCCGGAAUUACUGGGUGUAAAGGGAGCGUAGACGGUUAAGUAAGUCUGGAGUGAGAGGCCGGGGCCCAACCCCGGGACUGCUCUGGAAACUAUUUAACUUGAGUGCAGGAGAGGUAAGCGGAAUUCCUAGGGUAGCGGUGAAAUGCGUAGAUAUUAGGAGGAACACCAGUGGCGAAGGCGGCUUACUGGACUGUAACUGACGUUGAGGCUCGAAAGCGUGGGGAGCAAACAGGAUUAGAUACCCCUGUAC
This 463-nucleotide ribosomal RNA is filed under the name uncultured bacterium. Its description in RNAcentral is "bacterial SSU rRNA". It matches the Rfam family "Bacterial small subunit ribosomal RNA", at positions 331 to 793 of the family's 1533-position model. The record is from RNAcentral.